Long non-coding RNA from Macaca fascicularis (crab-eating macaque), 1712 nucleotides. NCBI's taxonomy places the organism in Eukaryota, Metazoa, Chordata, Mammalia, Primates, Cercopithecidae. The record is from Ensembl.
UUUCUUGGAAUGUUCUACAUGUAUAAUCAUGCCAUAUACAAAUAGGAACAAAUUUAUUUCUCCCUUUCUAAUAUGUACAGAUAAUAUAGAUAUUUGGAAUUUAUUAUUAUUACAUCAAGAAACACUAAUGCCCAAAGAGGCCAGUCUGGUGGAAACUGUGACAAAUGGGAGCCCAGGCUGGCCAAAGAGGGCUGCAGCUACCUGGCUAUGUGGAAGUUUAAAGCCAAUCGUCAGAUUGUUAAAACAGAUAUCAAUGUGAGAUUUUCUGAUAUGUAAAUAUUGGUGAGUUACUCAAAUAUUUAAACACCUCUUAGGCCAAGCAAAAUACACCUGUGAGCAGGACUGAGCUCGCACCAGUUUGCAACCGGGCACAAAAUGGGCAUUCUGCAGACAGAAGCAGCAGUUCUGCCAGAUGUCACAGGUGGGCACUUCUCAAGGGAUGUGUUGGGGAGCACUUGCUGAUGAUUCGUCCCAGGUUCCCAGGGUGGACAAGAAGGCCUAUGGAGAUGAAGGUUAAACUGCAUCUGUAAGGCCGUCUCUGGGAUUCUCGUGGCUCAGAACCACCUGGCUGGGUGCUCCUCUUUCUCCUCAGCAGCAAAGCAGCUGUGUCUCAGGUGGCUGGGCCAGGGUGUGUGACUCCAGGGUAAUCCGUGACAGGGGCUGAUGAUAAGGAGGGGUAGAGUCAGGACUUGACAGUGGAAAAAACUUGGGAAAAUUACAGAAAGUGGCUGAGUUGUCUAUGUGCAAUAUGGGAGAUGCGGGGGGAAGGAGGGAGUAAAUGAAUAUUGAGUAAAUAUGCUGAGUAUCAUGCUAGUUUUCUCCCAACCUCCCUUCCUUUUUUUCUCCCUUCCUUUCAUGCAACAUGUAUUUAUUCAGGGCUUUCUCUGUGCCAGGCACUGUGCUAGGCACUCGCCUCUCAUUCUUUACAUUUUCCUAUAACAUAGGCAUCAUUCUCUCCAUUUCACAAAUGAGGAAACUAAAUGACCACACCUGUGGUCCCAGAUCUGUCUGACUUCAAUGACAGUGCUCUUUGUACCACAUGCACUUUGGUAUCUCACAAAGGGUGCAACAAACACCUCUGGCAUCUUCUGACAAUCUUUGGUUCCAGGAGCUCUAAUCUGGUAGGAGGAAUGUAGCAGAAGCAGAAUCCAGGUGAUUCCUGAAUCCAUAAAUCAGGCAGACCAUGACCUGCAUUGUCCAUAAAGUGGCAUGAGGCAUCCACAGGAGGGUGACCUGGGACCAACAGUCUUCUGUAAAUCCAUCUACGAAGAGGCAAGGAGGAAUCCAUAUGUGCCCUUGGGCCUUAACUGCAGUUUCAUUCAUGGUGCAAUUGGUAGUGAAGAAGCCUGGGUAUAGGGCCAAGGGAGGCUUUGCUUCUGCACCUGGAUGAGAGAUUUAACUCUUAAGACCCACUGGAUGGGGUGCGAAGUGCUGCUGGGUCACCUCCCACCUCAGACUUGACUCAGAUGAGGAAGGAUGGAUCUUGCAGACAGAUAUAUCAGGGACCUGAUACUGAGGCUCUUAGGGAGAGAUCCUGCUCAGGCUACCUACUUGUUCUGACUUCAAUCUGCUUCCUCAUGGAUGACUAAGCAAACAGUAGGAACUAAAGUGGGGAAAACAGCUUGAGGGAGAGACUAUUAAUCAGGACUCUCUGAAAUGCAAGUGACAGAAAGUCCAACUUUAACUUGCUUAAGCAAAAAAAAAAAAAAAAA